This 210-nucleotide ribosomal RNA is filed under the name Triticum aestivum (bread wheat). RNAcentral's name for it is "partial small subunit ribosomal RNA". The record is from RNAcentral. Lineage: Eukaryota; Viridiplantae; Streptophyta; Magnoliopsida; Poales; Poaceae.
UGGUAUCUUCGUCGCGGAGUCAUUCUUACUAAAGAUAACCUUAUUAAGAGGAAUUGGCAUGGAAGUCCGCAAUGUGUCUUUUGUCACCAUGAUGAAACAAUAAAACAUUUAUUCUUCCAAUGCAAAUUGGCUCGUUCUAUAUGGUCAGUCAUCCAAAUAGUUUCUGGCUUGUAUCCUUCGUGUAGUGCUGCUAAUGUAUUUGGCAACUGA